CGGAUCCGAGGCAGGGAAAGCACUCGGGAUGGAAGGAGCAGGUGUGCGGGCCGUGAGCGGCGCCAGAGGGUACCUGGCUCUGUGGAGGGGCCCUCUGGUAUGUGUGUCCCUGUCCUUCUGGGGCGUGGAUGGUGCCCGGGACCCAGCUGGCAACCAGUUGAAGACGUUCUCCUUGGAAGCUCUUGGCCCUGAGGACUUUGCCUGGGGCACUGGCCCUGCCAUGGCAUUCCGGAGGGCCGAGGGCACGUCUAUGAUCCAGGCCCUGGCCAUGACGGUGGCCGAGAUCCCCGUGUUCCUGUACACGACGUUUGGGCAGUCUGCAUUCUCCCAGCUACGGUUGACGCCAGGCCUGCGGAAAGUCCUCUUUGCCACGGCCCUGGGGACUGUGGCCCUGGCCCUGGCUGCCCACCAGCUGAAGAGGCGACGGAGGAGGAAGAAGCAGGUUGGUCCCAAGAUGGGAGGGGAGCAGCUGGGCACGGUGCCCCUCCCUAUUCUCUUGGCCAGGAAGGUCCCUUCAGUGAAGAAAGGAUACUCCGGCCGGAGAGUCCAGAGCCCCAGCAGCAAGAGCAAUGACACCCUGAGUGGCAUCUCUUCCAUUGAGCCCAGCAAGCACUCGGGCUCCUCCCACAGUGUGGCCUCGAUGAUGGCAGUGAACUCAUCCAGCCCCACGGCCGCGUGCUCGGGACCGUGGGAUGCCAGAGGGAUGGAGGAGUCUCUGACCACCAGCGACGGCAAUGCAGAGAGCCUGUACAUGCAAGGCAUGGAGCUGUUCGAGGAAGCUCUGCAGAAGUGGGAGCAGGCACUGAGUGUGGGCCAGCGGGGGGACAGCGGCAGCACCCCCACGCCCAGGGACGGCGUCCGGAACCCGGAGACUGCAUCAGAGCCACUGUCUGAGCCAGAGUCACAGCGGAAGGAGUUUGCAGAGAAGCUGGAGUCCCUGCUGCACCGCGCCUACCACCUGCAGGAGGAGUUCGGCUCCACCUUCCCCGCGGACAGCAUGCUGCUAGACCUCGAGAGGACCCUCAUGCUGCCCCUGACCGAGGGCUCGCUGCGGCUGCGGGCGGACGAUGAGGACAGCCUGACCUCAGAGGAUUCCUUCUUCUCCGCCACCGAGCUCUUUGAGUCCCUGCAGACCGGAGAUUACCCGAUCCCACUCUCCAGACCCGCCGCUGCCUACGAGGAGGCCCUGCAGCUGGUGAAGGAGGGGAGAGUGCCCUGCCGGACCCUCAGGACGGAGCUGCUGGGCUGCUACAGUGACCAGGACUUUCUGGCCAAGCUGCACUGUGUGCGGCAGGCCUUCGAGGGGCUUCUGGAAGACAAGAGUAACCAGCUUUUCUUCGGGAAAGUGGGCCGACAGAUGGUGACAGGCCUGAUGACCAAGGCUGAGAAGAGCCCCAAAGGCUUCCUGGAGAGCUACGAGGAGAUGCUGAGCUAUGCCUUACGGCCUGAGACCUGGGCCACAACACGGCUGGAGCUGGAGGGCCGAGGGGUGGUAUGCAUGAGCUUCUUCGACAUCGUGCUGGACUUCAUCCUCAUGGACGCCUUCGAGGACCUGGAGAACCCCCCGGCCUCGGUGCUCGCCGUCCUGCGGAACCGCUGGCUGUCAGACAGCUUCAAGGAGACGGUGGGUCGCUGCCGCGCUCUCAGACCCAUGCUUGCUCACAUCAGCCCAUGUGGUUGCCUGGCUCCGUCCCCUCUGUCCCUAGCACUGGCACCAGGGCUGGGCCCCCACCCCCUAGGUCCGCGGCUGCCAGGCCUGGGAGACCAGAGUCUGCUCUAGAGAAGCCUCCAGGGUGCCCCGUUGCUGCCUGGUGCCCCAGUUUAGAACCAACGUGGUGUGCGUUUUCUUCCUAUUGUGUGGUUUCACUUCUGUGCUGGUAUGAAUUCGAUUCAAUUUUAAUGCAUCCGUUAAAUCAAGUUAAAAGAGGGGAAAGCAAAACCAAAAGGAAAAACAUGCACAGAGCGAGAGACAGCCCAGCACAGGACCCCCAGCAAGGCAAGCAGUGAUGCUCCAGCAGCCAGGCUGUGCUGCCUGGGUCCAGGCUUCUGCGAGGCGGUUUACAGGCGGGAACCAUUGCUCCCACAACCACCAAAGGAGGUGGGAGUGCUGUGUUGUGCCCCUUUACAGAAGAGGAGACUGAGGCUCAGAGAAGAUCCAGCAGUAAGAUUAGAGUCAAGAUUCAAGUUUAGGUAUGUCUGAGUCCAAAAUCAGAGGAGGAAGCAGCAGAGCUUAGGCACCCGGCCCCAUCUUCCUGCUUGGAGUGGGGCCUUGGCCACUGCUUGCUGGUCAGUCCUGAAAGCCAAGAGGAGGCUGCUGAUGGUGCCUGACGGCUUCAUCUCCCAUUUCUACUCCGUAUCGGAGCAUGUGAGCCCUGUCCUAGCCUUCGGCUUCCUUGGACCCAAGCCUCAGCUUGCUGAAGUCUGUGCUUUCUUCAAGCACCAGAUUGUGCAGUACCUGAGGGACAUGUUCGACCUGGACAAUGUGCGCUACACAGCAGUGCCCGCGCUGGCAGACGACAUCCUGCAGCUGUCCCGGCGCCGCAGCGAGAUCUUGCUGGGGUACCUGGGGGUGCCCGCGGCCAGCAGCGCAGGCGUGAAUGGGGCGCUGCCCCGAGAGAAUGGGCCCCUGGGGGAGCUGCAGUAGAGGCGGCACGGGCUGCGGGGCAGCAGAGAGAAGGCUCCUCCUCCCUUCCCUGGGUUGGUAUCUGACAGCUGUGGUGGCUGAGGGCCGUUGCCCCUGACUUUGCCCCACCCCCAUCAUCUGGGAGUCCCCAAGGCCCAGAGGGGACAUUUCCAUGGAGAAGAAUGGAAUGGUUCCUGGGGGAGGCCAGGACCAGUGGGGCCUGUGGGAGAGAAAGGCAGUGAGAGAGGAGGGUGUUGUGGAGAAUUGGGACAGGCAGAGCCGGGAUGCCCCAGGUGGAGGACCCCAAAACCUCCCAUCACCCCAGGGCUGCUGACAAGGGUGCUGGGAGGGUGGAGGUGAAGGAUGGGGCCUAGAGCCCUGUGGUGAAGGUCACAGUGUCCUGAGCUAGAAGCCACCUGUGGCUGUAUGGUCUCAGCAUCCAGGCAUCCAGCUGGCCUGUCCUGAUGCCCUCCCCACCUCGGCCGCCUUCUCAGAGAGUUUGCAACUCCAGAGGAGGAGAGUGGGGCCACCUUAGUGGGCAGCAGGCCCGGGCCAUCCAGAGGUGGGGCAGAGGUGGGCCUCCCACUCCUGUGCUCUCUUCUGGGCAGGGACUGGGCCCUUGACAAACCCAAGCACCAAACCAGGACACUGUCCUUUGACAUUCCCUCGCCCUGCCAAAGAUCGUCUUUUCUCCUCCCACCUCUGUCACCACCAAAGACGGGCGGAGGUGGGGCUGGGCCCUCCUGCCCCCGCCCAUCCCCCUUCCAUGAGCCCAGACCUCCCUGGGUGGUGCUAGGCUCUGAGCUGGGGGCUCGGACCAGGGAUCGCUCAGGCCCCUGUCACCCGUGGGCCCGGGGACCACUUGGGGGAGGUCAGAGGAUGUAUGUGGCCGGCCCAGCUUCCCCACCUUCAUUAGGACAAGAAACUGCCCAGCACUUUGCCUUCAGUUCAACACACGAACGCUCCUGGGGCCUCAUGGGGGCAGAGCCUCCCCUGGGCCUGCAGACAGAGUCCUGUUAGCAGCGAUGUCCCCCUGCCACGGGGUCCUGUCAUCCCGGCGUGUCUUCUCAGUGUCUUCACCUGAGCAGGUGUCUAUAGCCUCAAUGCAUUCUGCUGGGGCUCUGCCUUUUCCAGGUUGAGAGGCCUGCGGGAGAAACAGACUCCCCUCUUGGGUUUCCACACUCAGGAGUCAGAGGACUGGCUCCUGUGACCAGGGCCCGUCUCCCCUGAAUGGGAAAGGGGUCUGGGGAUGGGAGGGCGCACCACAGAGAGGAGAUGAUGCUGGGUGUGGCCCAUCUUCUGUGGGCCCCUUCCCAGACACCAGAUCCAUGGGCACUAACCCACCUCCCAGGCUGAUGCCCGGAGGCAGCCUCCACGGCAGGAAGGACCCUGUGCUCCCCGCCCCCCCAUCCUGACAUCCUGUUCUUUUGCACUUACCCUGUGCUGUGAAUGUAACAGUGGGCUUUGGCCCCGCCCACUCUGAUUUGCAUUUUCAUUUGUCUUUGUUUACACAUCUGUGCACUGCCUGUAGCAGUCGAUUGUCACAGCUUCGACUUUUGGAUGGUAGAGUGUGUGCACUGACUGUGAGUCGAAUAAACAAUUGAGACGAUUUCCUUCCA
RNA transcript from Nomascus leucogenys (northern white-cheeked gibbon), 4242 nucleotides. It is a transcript of the gene named mitoguardin 2, with no coding region annotated. The transcript has 16 exons. NCBI's taxonomy places the organism in Eukaryota, Metazoa, Chordata, Mammalia, Primates, Hylobatidae. The record is from RefSeq and is a predicted model, not a curated record.